Molecule: ribosomal RNA, 532 nt
Filed under: uncultured bacterium
Lineage: Bacteria
Description: bacterial SSU rRNA
Rfam family: Bacterial small subunit ribosomal RNA
Source: RNAcentral
CAGGUCACUCCUACGGGAGGCAGCAGUGGGGAAUCUUGCACAAUGGGGGAAACCCUGAUGCAGCGACGCCGCGUGAGCGAUGAAGCCCUUCGGGGUGUAAAGCUCUUUCGGCAGGGACGAUAAUGACGGUACCUGCAGAAGCAGCUGCGGCUAACUACGUGCCAGCAGCCGCGGUAAUACGUAGGCUGCGAGCGUUGUCCGGAAUUACUGGGCGUAAAGAGCGCGCAGGCGGUUAGGUAAGACAGAUGUGAAAUCCCCGGGCUCAACCCGGGAAGGGCAUCUGAGACUGCCUCACUAGAGUGCGGAAGAGGUAACUGGAACUCCCGGUGUAGAGGUGAAAUGCGUAGAUAUUCGGAGGAACACCUGAGGCGAAGGCGGGUUACUGGGCUGAUACUGACGCUGAUAUGCGAAAGCCUGGGGAGCGAACGGGAUUAGAUACCCCGGUAGUCCUGGCCCUAAACGAUGAAUGCUUGGUGUGUCGGGUAUUCCCCUCCGCAUUUGCCAAAUCUAACGCGUUAACUGUCCCCCCGGG